AAGUCGUAACAAGGUUUCCGUAGGUGAACCUGCGGAAGGAUCAUUAUUGAAUAAACCUGAUGUGGCUGUUAGCUGGCUUUUCGAAGCAUGUGCUCGUCCAUCAUCUUUAAUCUCUCCACCUGUGCACAUUUUGUAGUCUUGGAUACCUCUCGAGGCAACUCGGAUUUUAGGAUCGCCGUGCAGCUUUCCUCUCAUUUCCAAGACUAUGUUUUUAUAUACACCAAAGUAUGUUUAAAGAAUGUCAUCAAUAGGAACUUGUUUCCUAUAAAAUUAUACAACUUUCAGCAACGGAUCUCUUGGCUCUCGCAUCGAUGAAGAACGCAGCGAAAUGCGAUAAGUAAUGUGAAUUGCAGAAUUCAGUGAAUCAUCGAAUCUUUGAACGCACCUUGCGCUCCUUGGUAUUCCGAGGAGCAUGCCUGUUUGAGUGUCAUUAAAUUCUCAACCUUCCAGCUUUUAUUAGCUUGGUUAGGCUUGGAUGUGGGGGUUGUGGGCUUCAUUAAUGAGGUCAGCUCUCCUUAAAUGCAUUAGCGGAACUUUUGUGGACCGUCUAUUGGUGUGAUAAUUAUCUACGCCGUGGAUGUGAAGCAGCUUUAUGAAGUUCAGCUUCUAAUCGUCCAUUGACUUGGACAAAUUUUGAUAAUUUGACCUCAAAUCAGGUAGGACUACCCGCUGAACUUAAGCAUAUCAAUAAGCGGAGGAAAAGAAACUAACAAGGAUUCCCCUAGUAACUGCGAGUGAAGCGGGAAAAGCUCAAAUUUAAAAUCUGGCAGUCUUUGGCUGUCCGAGUUGUAAUCUAGAGAAGUAUUAUCCGCGCUGGACCGUGUACAAGUCCCCUGGAAUGGGGCGUCAUAGAGGGUGAGAAUCCCGUCUUUGACACGGACUGCCAGGGCUUUGUGAUGUGCUCUCAAAGAGUCGAGUUGUUUGGGAAUGCAGCUCAAAAUGGGUGGUAAAUUCCAUCUAAAGCUAAAUAUUGGCGAGAGACCGAUAGCGAACAAGUACCGUGAGGGAAAGAUGAAAAGAACUUUGGAAAGAGAGUUAAACAGUACGUGAAAUUGCUGAAAGGGAAACGCUUGAAGUCAGUCGCGUUGGCCAGGGAUCAACCUUGCUUUUUUGCUUGGCUUACUUUCUGGUCGAUGGGUCAGCAUCAAUUUUGACUGGUGGAAAAAGUUCAAGGGAAUGUGGCAUCUUCGGAUGUGUUAUAGCCUUUGUUCACAUACAUCAGUUGGGAUUGAGGAACUCAGCACGCCGCAAGGCCGGGUUUUUAACCACGUACGUGCUUAGGAUGCUGGCAUAAUGGCUUUAAUCGACC
RNAcentral lists this ribosomal RNA (1309 nucleotides) under uncultured fungus. RNAcentral describes it as "eukaryotic LSU rRNA". The stretch from base 643 to 1309 matches the Rfam family "Eukaryotic large subunit ribosomal RNA", at positions 1 to 649 of the family's 3401-position model. The record is from RNAcentral. Lineage: Eukaryota; Fungi.